GCGAGCUAGAGAUGCUGCACGCUGCUAACAAGGGAAGGAAGCCUACAGCUGAGGCAGUGGUGCUAAAGAGGAGACAGGAAGCACCUGUAUCUUCAAAUCUUGCCAAGAACAGAGCACCUGCUAGUAAGAGACAGAAGGAGUGAUAACAUCACAGAGUGAAAAUGAAAAAUAAUUUCUUUCCUGCUAUUUCUAGAAAAAAAAUUAAAAAAUGAAAAACAAAUUUAUAGAAGUACUUUAUUUUCCAUUAAGUACCUCAUUUAAUUGAUUUAGAGUUUCACGUAGCAUAUGUCUGUGUGUUUUGGAGUGUGUUUUAGGGAUAAAGUAGGAAGUUCCACAUUUUAUGACCAGCUGUAUGCUGUAGCAGAGCACGCAUAAUUGAGAUUCCUAAUUAGGGUGAAAUAACAUAAUACUACACUCAUUUCUGAUUGUCUUAAAACACCAAAAUUAAAAAGAUGAAAACGAUAGAUGAUAGUAAAAGGAAAAUAAAAAUAUAAAACAUGAGAGGAAGAUCUGUCAAUCUUGUUUUCUAUUAAAAUAAUGUCUGGUGCACAGUAGGUAUUCAAGAAAUAUUUAUCAAGAAUGGUAGAAGGUAGAGGUAGGAAAUGAGUCCAUAGUCUGUAAUGAAAAUUGCAGCAGGUAAAAUAGCUUAAGCUUUCACUUUGAGCCUUGAAACUCAGAUUGAAUAGUUAAUUAGUGAAUUACCAUUUCAUUGACAAAAUGGGGCAAUGGGGCAGUUUUUCAAUCUCUUCCUUUGUAUUAUAAAUCAAUACUGAAGAUCGAUGUUGGUUUGGAUCAUCUUCAUGAGGCUUUAUUUUAAGUGGUUUAAUUAUUGUUAAUCUUUUGGGGUAACUGUCUUGUGAUCUAAGUAUCUAGUAGGUCUCCAUGUCUAUAAAUAACUUCUUAUGCAGGAUUAGAGUUUCUAUAAGAUUUUUGCAUUUCACAAUCUCCUACUAUUUUCCCUGUCUGGGAAACAGUAAGUCUUCUAGUAUAUGUCUUUGGGACCUGGGGCCCCAGGAGUGUGUCAGGAUGGAAAUGAGACACAUGAGUGUAUUUCUUCAGGCUGUCAUUGAUGGGCACGUUCGAUGACUCAGGUCUUUUGACAGGUGCCAAGGCUAUAAGCAAACCCAGGACCAAGCAUUUAGUGGUUUGCACACAAUUAGGAGGAAAAGACUCACAAGCAUUAAGUAGUAUAGAGUGGAGAAGGCUUCAUGAAUGAAAUGUCUGUCAAGGAUGCAAAGGAAGAAGGAAUGAUUGAUUCUACUUGAACAGAUUAAGAAAGAUUUCACAGAACCAAACCUUGAAAGAUAUUGCGGAAGCAAGUAGGGAGAUGAUAUCCCAGGCAAAGGAAAGCAGUUUGAUCAAAGUCUUAGAGGUGUGUGACAAGGUAUGUUCCAUGAACUGCAACUAAUGACAAGGUCAUCCCUUGUCAGUACAGUGAGAGAUGAAAUCUAAGAUGCUGGCCAGGCCAGAUCACGCAUAUGCUCCUGAAAUAUACCGAGCACUUUCUACUUUGUGCUGCAGGUCGUGGGAAGUCAUUAAAGGGCUUUAAGCAGGAGAACAUCAUGACCAUAUGUUCAUCUUUAUUUUUUAAAGACCAUUUUGAUAAGCUGGAUCAUGGAAAUAGCGGCAGUCAAUUUUUAAAAUUCUUUUUUAUAUUCAUUCAUCACUGAAUAUUAAGGCCCUACUAUGAAUCAGCUUUUGUCUAUAUGUAUGAUAUGAGGAUAUGAACAAAGAGUAUACAUUCAGUUUUGAGCACACUGUGACUCUCAGAGGCAUCAGAUAAAGUAAGUCUCAUUAUCUAAAUAGGGCCAGUGAAUAACUGCUCAUCCAAAAGUGCUCCCUUUAAAUAAAGCCUUAUGUUCCCAUUGAGAAGUGUUUUCCUGGAUUCAGCGCUGCCGAGAAUAAUUAGGCCACUUGCAUGUGAAUUGGGGGAUUAUGUGUUGUACAGGUCCUUCUCUUCAUUGGGUAGAACAGAUAUCAUGUGGUAACCAAUUUCUACAUCAAAUCCAAUGUAACCCUAUAAUGGGAACUCAAUUUUGAACUGCAUGUAAAUACACGUUUGGCAAAACCACACUCUCUUAGUGUGAUUGCGUCUGAUCAGGUACCAGGUGUAUCGAUUGUCCAUUUUCCUUCACCGUUUCUCCUAGAUUAUGAGUACUGGAGAGUCCUUAUCAUCACUUGAAGUGGUUCUCAACUGGGAAUGCACAUCAUGAUCAUGGAGGAGUUUUUUUUUAAAUGUGCAUAUUUAGGUAUCACCCAAGAAAUGCUGGUUCCCAGGUUAGGACUAGAGAGCCCAGGGAAACUUGUAGUGUUAAAAGCGUCCCCAGGGGAUUUUCUCAUUCUCAUGCAUUCUCCUCCUUGGAAAGCCACUAAGGCUAAUUUGAUAUCUCUUACAACAUAGCCAAGGCAUAGCUUGUUAGAGCCCAGCCUAAAAGUACGAUUCCCUGAGGCCCAGCCCAGAGCAAUUUCUAUUUCAUCACCUCUACCCGUGUUCUUCCAGCCUGCCCUGGACCUUGAGACAAGAUAUCUGUGUUUGCACUGCUUUUAUCUGGGAGAUAUGGCAGGAGGAAACCUGCAAUCUAAGUGCAUUAUUCAGCUCAAACUGCUAUAACAAAGUACCGUAGACUAGGUGGUUUAAACAACAGACAUUUAUUUCUCACAGUUCUAUAGUCUGGAAGUCCCAGAUCAGAGUACCAGCAUGGUUGGCUUCUUGAUGAGAGCUCUCUUCCCCUUCGCAAAUGGCAAAGGGGUGGGGUGAGAAGGGGACAUGGGAAAGAGAUGAGAGGAAAGGGAGAGGGAGGAAGAAAAGGAAGGAGGAGGAGAGAGAGAAAAAGUGAGAGUGAGUGUUAGCUCUCUGGUGUCUCUCCUUAUAAGGGCGCUAAUUUCAUUAUUAGGACCCCACCCUCAGGACCUCAUCUAAACCUAAUUACCUCCUAAAGAUCCCAUCUUCUAAUACCAUCACAUUGGGGAUUAUGUCUUCAAUAUAUGAAUUUUGGGGAAACAGAAUUCACUCUGUAAUACCAGGAGAUUGAUUCUAGCUGGGCAUUAAAGUCACCUGGGGACUGUCACUAAAAUACUAGUGUCCUGGUCCUAGCCCAUGAGAUUUGGGUUUAAUAUGUUUGCCAGACCUAAUUCUUCAUCCUGCUAGUGAAGUAAUUUCACUCAAAGUCUAAAAUGUUCUCAUCUGCAAAAUGGGAAUGAUGCCACAAUCUAUACUAAAGAUUACAUGAGAUUAUAGAUAUCAAAAGGGUUGGUCACCUCUAAAACAUUACAAAAAUAUCAUUUUCAUCUUUAUUAACCCACUUCCUUUCAUCGAUGAGCAGUUUCAGAUGAAAUGUCAGUAUUUUAAGUUUUCUCUAUCAGAGUGUUUACGGCCAGGUUUCCUAGUAGGUCUGAAUUGGAACUGCUGCCCCCUGAAUAUGUCCGGAAGGCCAUGCAGCAGGAGGGCAUAGCUUAGGGGUCACAAAUUUAAAUAUCUACAGGGCCCGGGCAGAUCAUGCAAAUGAGGGAAGAGAGGGCUGGCUGCAGAAAAAUGGUUGGGUGCAUCAAUCAGCACUCAGCUACUUUGAUUGAGACAUGGUAGAAAGAAAUGUCUCUCUACUAUUAGAAAAGUAAUAGUGCAGACAUGGUGACAACUGGCAGCUGGCGUUAGACUCUCAGGCUUGGGGGAACUAGAGAGCGAAUGUCCAACUGAAAGGGGUAGCUGUUUAUACUCAGGCCAGCAUUGCCAGAUCGUCCAGGUCCCCCCCCCCCCAGAAUCCAAGCUUUUAUGUAAAAGCUCUUGAUGUUUAAGUGCUAGUAACUAAUUUAAAAAACAAAACAAAAUGAAACAGUGAGCAUUUCACAGGGUAACAUUGACUGGUAUAAACAAAAUAUAUGCGCAGUCUGAAUUUUGCCUGUGUGCCCAAAUUGGCCUGCAUACUAUCAGUGGAUAACCGUUUCUUUAGGCCAUGCACUCCGUCCUGCCCAUCAACGAACCAUUGUUUUUUAAACAUAUUGUUUAUCCACAAACAAAAUUCAUCGCUGCACUGGAGCCCAGUUGGCAAUCUCUGGCAUGGAGCCUCAUUUCCUUUGACUGAAUUUUCUUGCAUUUAUUUCUGUGGCUUAUAUUCAUUUAUGCUAUCAAUAUUUACUGAGCAGAUACUGUGCUAGAUGAUAAGGAUGCAAAAUUCCAAAAGACAUAGUCUCUAGUCCCUGCCCUGUGUUGCUUCCAGUCUAGUCUAGGCAAUGUGCCCAGGGCAAUGACUGAGGCCAGAAAGAAUAUAAUGGAAAUAUGGAACAAAGAUGUGUAACCCAACCUCCUGUAGAUAGCUCAUUUCUUCUGGUUCUUUCAACUAAUAACAGAAAAUGCCCUCCUUUUUCCUUUUACCCACUUUUUCCCCCUCCUUUUUUUUUUUUGAACAUUUGGCCAACAUAGUAAGCCCACUGUGUGAAAACCACAUCUAACCUUUGGCUUUUUUGAUGCUUAGGAAAUAUUUGAUGUCAUGGUAUAAAACUAAAAGUCACUCCACCCAAUACAGUGCUGAUACCUAAUACUGUCAACAUCGUAUUUGAAAUGCAUGUGUGAUAGUUGUGUUCAGCCAGAAACAAAAGUACCCGGGUGUGUUUGGUUCACGCGGGGCCCUAGCCUUCACAUUCCUUAUCCUGGUUUUUGGCACUCAGUGACGCUGAGUGGCUCACCUUGGCGACUGUUUCUUGUAGCAGGCUUCUCUCCAGGGGAGUGUCUCCCAAACCUUGAGAUGGUUAUCUGUUAAUAGAAGGAAAAACAAGUUGUGAAAGUAGGCCACGCGCGUCACCGAUAAACACGAAAAUUUCGUUGGUGAGAGCCCUCCUCUCCUUGCCAAAGUGACCUUGGUUGGCGCGAAGAUGACAGAGUGCUUCCCUGCCCGGCUCUGACAGCAUUGCUAUCACAGCACGUUUGACAAAUCGUUCACAUUAAAUUGGGGGGCACUUUCGGCAGCACCGACGUCCCCUCUCCAUCACUCCUGAUUACCACACAAACGUCAACCAUGGCACCAAGCACAUUUGUCACAGGGACUAAAAAGCAGUUGUUAGUAAGAGCGCUACCUGUCAUACUAAUGGACUAGAGCUUGUUGCUUUGUGUCUCGCAGGAGCCUACAGAUUUGCAAAAAAACAAAACAUAAUUUUUUUUUGGAAGGUUGUCCAGUGUUUCUUGAAAAUGCUUUUGUGCUUUGAUAGAGAGAGGUAUAUUGAAAGCUUGUCAGAUGGGACACCCGAAUGCCUUCUCUUGGAAGGGGAAACAGAUUCUGAUUUUUUUUUUUUAGGUGACUUUGCUGUUUAGUGACUGCUGUCAUUUCUUUGUGGUCAAACAGGCAAUGGCAAGUUUUUCUGUGAAGGAAAUCUAUACCCUAUACAUUUUAAUUAGAUUAGUAAAAAACAAAUAAGUGGAGCAAUUCUUUGCAAUUCAUUAGUUCCCUUUGUCUUUAAACUUUAUGAAAUUAUUUGAAGGAGGUAGAGGAUGAGCUUGUUUCUUCCCAUCACCAUGUCCUUGUCAUCAUAGGUGCCAUGCUUUCCAUUGUGCUUCAUGUGUCAUUUAUAUGCUUUCUUUUAUAGUCUGGCCAUAAGCCAGGCCAGUCACACACUACUAUUCCCAUUUUAGAGGUGGCAAAACUGAGAAUCAGAAAGUUUGCUGCCAAGGAUUACACAGGUACUGUCACAUUUGUAGUUCAUGCCUUUUGACUCCAGUUCAUAAUAUCCAUUGUAUUUGGAUAUCCAAUAAAGAUCGUGCAACUUAUUUAAAUGAUUCCUCUGUCGGCACACAUUGCUGUUCACCCUUCUGUUUCCAAGCCAUUCUUCUCCCCAAGUCCUCCUGCUACUCAGUAUCAAUACAUAGUUUUUUCUUUGGCAGAAGAUGCAAAAUACUUCAUUUCAAAAUUAGGGAAAGAAAAGUGAAAGUAAUGGAAGAGAACUGGGUUGCAAACUUUCAUCUGACUGGACUUUAUAAAGUAGAGUCCACUACUCUAAGUCAUUGUUUAAGGGAGUGAUUUUGGUACUGCAGACAGAGGGGGUCGUGGUGCUAGAAUUUGAGAACCCUUGCUAUAAAACAUUCUGUCUUUUGUGGGCUAAUGAGGGGCCCCUUUGGCUUUUGAAAAGAUAGGAAAAGACAAACUGUUUUUCUUUUUCACACCCUCAACACUGACUACUGCACCUCUCGUCUCCAAAAUGUAUUCCUCCCCACCAGCCACCAAUCAGUUCUGCAGGGGACACCAGCUGUGUGUUCCAUCAUUCAAUUCUGACACUAUCUACCCAGAUCCAGUGUUAGAUCCCACCGGUGAAGGGCUCAGGCUCACAAGGCUGCCAACUCUUCAGAUGCCAAUCACAAGCCCCAGGUUGUGACCUGUAUUUCUGAUUGGCUAUAAAUUUGAAUUCUUACAACCUUCUCCUUUGGAUUCAAUUAAUUUGCUAGAGUGGCUCACAGAACUCAUGGAGAUACUUUACUUACAUUUACCCACUUAUUAUAAAGGAUACAGAUGAAUAGCCAGAUGGAAGAGAUGCAAAGGGCAAGGUGUAGGAGGGAAGGGGUGCAGGGCUUCAGGCCGGCCCUGGCUGCACCACCCUCCAGGAACUUCCACGUGUUCAGAUAUCCAGAAGUUCCCAAACCCUGUCCAGUGGGUUUUUAUGGGGGCUUCAUAAUGUAGGCAUGAUUGACUACAUCAUUGGACAUUGGUGAUCCAUUCAACCUUCAGCCCUUCUCCUUUCUCUAGAGGUUGGGUGGCAGAGCUGAGAGUCCCAACCUUCUAAUCAUGCCUUGGUCCUUCUGGUGACCAGUCCUAUUCUGAAGCUAUCUAGGGGCCCCUAGCCACCAGUCGUCUCAUUAGCAUACAAAAGACACUCAUCACUCCAGAGAUACCAAGGGUUUUAAAAGCUGUGUGUCAGGAACCAGUAACAGAGACAAAAACUUAUAUUUCUUGUUAUCUUACAGUAUCAUAGGCUUCUUGUGAAUUCACUCUUCUAAGUGAUGUAAUAAGCUGGAAUGAUAAACUUGAGAUGGGAUAACGUUAAUAAAGAACUUGUUAAGUGCUUGAUUCCUUUCUUAUUUUAUUCCACAAGUCUUUAGAUCAGUGUUUCUGGAUUGCCAUGCUGGGUUAUCUCCAUUGGAUGUUUUAGUUACCAUCAAUUUCUUUUUCAUGGAAAAAUAUAUGAUCUGUGAGUGGCUUCUUCAUUUUAACCUUCUCAUAUCUCUAGGCAGGAAGCCUCAAUGUAUGAAAAUCUCCUUGAAUCAAAAGGAGACAAUCCCUUGUAAGUACAUCCGUUCAUCAGAUUUUAUUAUAGACUUACUCUGUGGCCAGCACUGGACUAAGCUCUGAGAAAACCACAGGGAAUCUGGGUCUCCUGUUGGCUUAAUGUAGAUUAUCUUAUAAGCAGAAAUGGUCUUAGGCUUUGGGCGUGCCCACCAUAACCGUAGACCUUCCCAAAACAUCCUCCUUCAUAACCUUCUGACUGUUCUUCAGGGCUUUGCAUUAUUUGAUCCCACUCAUGUCCCACUUUUAUUCUCAGUGAGCUAUUACAGUGUAAUUCUUUCUUUUCAGAUCAGAGUGCCAUUUAACAUUUUUAAUAUCUCUACUUGUUUUCUUUUCAUUAGUGGCAGGUUUUCGUUUAUGCUGCAGUAUAUAAAACUGAUCAAAGAAGAGCAAUUGUGGUUGGAACGGGAGGGGUGGGGUACCCUGGGCAACUCCUUAGAGUGUAUAGUCCUGAGAGAAGAAGGUGGGGAAAACCUUGGUCUAGAUGGUGCCACAGAAGGAGGUUGUGUCCCUUUCUAGACCUCCAUCUUCUCUGUCUGGAUGUGCUAUUCAAGCAACAAGAGUAGGUUGGGAUGUUCAUGCCAGGAGGAAGGAAGAGUUCAUCAUAGAAGUCUAGAUAGGGCAGUAGUUUGAGGAUAUUUAACAUGUAGAUUGAAUGAUGGCUACUGUAACAAAAUACCAUAAACUGGGUAGUGUACAAAUAGCAGGCAUUUGUUUUUCACAGUUCUGGAGACUGGAAAGUACGAGAUCAAGUCAUUUUCGGUGUCUGGUGAGGGCCCACUUUCUGAUUCACAGAUGGCCCCCUCUCACUGUGUCUUCCAUGGUGGUGGGGACAAGGCAGCUCUCUGGGGCUUCUUUUCUAAGGACAUGAAUUCCAUUCAUGAGGGCUUCCUUCUCGUGGACCUAAUACCAGCACAUUAAGAUUGGGUUUCAACUAUGAAUUUUGGAGGGACGCAAACAUUCAGACCAUAGGAAGGAAGAACAACUUGCAUUUUGUUUCAUGUUCCAAAUACUCUCAAGUAAUUUCAUACACAUUUACCUCCACUGAUCCAUAUUUCCACCCCAUGAGUUUAUUCCAGUGCUUAUGUUACUUUACAAAAAUGCUUAUGUUCAUUACAAAAAUGAAAUCACAAUGUUUUGUCCAACAUAAGAAUUCAGUGAAUUAUUAUUGGAGCCAGGACUGGAACAUGAGUUCUCAGCAUCUGGCACUUCUACCUUCUUUUGCAACCCCCUGACCCCAGCUCGUGGCAGCACAGUGGAAUCCUACGUAGAGCUGGUCCUCACCAUCCAUUGCUCUCUGCUUCCACCCUCAUGACUAAGCUUACACAUGCACAUUUCUACCUGUAGAAGAGUUUUAAUCAAGACAUGCAUUUCCAUGGAAAUGAACUCACCCUCCCCCAAAAAACAUAUAAGUAGAAAGUGGCAUUUAUUUAAUUUUCAUGAGCUACAUUGCCUUAUUUCCUUUAUGUCUAGGCAUACUGCAUGAUUUUUUAAAGGCUAGGAAAUGUGACCCUGUGUUAAUUUCCAUGGCUACGUCCCCAGUCAUCCAACGGUGGCUUAGUGGCAUAUGAUAUAUUCAAUACAUUUUAAACACUGCUGCAUUUAAAAAUAACUUUAAAAGGUUGUAAAUGUCAAAUUGAGAUUUGAAAUAUGUCAGAUAGCUGUCAUUUUUACACCCUUCAUUAAUUUCAAUUGGACUCAGUGAAUUGUAUUUGACAAACUGUUAUCAUACAUUGACUACAAGCAUGCUACAUUUAUGUAGCACAUUCCUGACAUACGGAAUGUUUUGAGGGGAACUUUAAUAUAUGACUUCUCUUUGACCUCCUGGAUGACAUGAGACUAUCAAAUGACAAGUGUGGCAGCAUUCAACUCUAAGGUUUCCCAAAUGGUGGCAUUUGGAAAAUCUUCAAGAGGCUUGUUCAGAAAUGGAAGUGUCCACUGGAGAAUUUCUGAUAACAAAAAUAGACACAUUUUUCUCUCGGUGCAGAAAUUGCAAAAUUUGGACUACAGCUAAAAGGAAAGGGGGUUGUGAAUAAAGAUUUCCUAUUAGCAGAUCUGAGCAGGUGGAGAUGUGAUGGAAGAGUCAGGGCUGGUUAUAAAAAUACUAUCAUUAUUAAAAUUAAUAGCAAUUACCAACUAUUAAGUGCUAUAUGAAGAGCAUGAUACGUAGAACACUGUGCUUAAAAACCCAUGUUCUGGUGUCAGAUUGUGUAAGUUCAAAUGCAGGCUCUACCACUUUACUCUGUCUGUAACCCUGGGCGAGUCACUUAACAUCUAGAUGCCUCAAUUUUCUAAUUUGUAAAUUCGGGAUAAUAAUAUUACUUACCUCUUGGGGUUUACUAUGAGGAUAAUCUGCAUUCAGUGAAUGGUGGCUGUUAUUAUUAUAUGCCAGGGCUGUACUAAGCGCUUUGCAUUUAAUUUUCCAGCCGCCCUGUGAGACGGAUAUUACUGGUAGCAUUGUUCAUUUGCAAAUGAAGCAAUGAAGACUCCAGGGGAUGUUUAUUUAUCCAGAGUUCUCCACCUACUAGUUGGUAAAAGAAGGGAGUCAGGUAACUGAAGACACCUUUUAGGUCAGUCUGUUCAUCUGUAAAAGGUGAUCAUUGAACUUGAAGUUCUCUUGUCAUCGACUGUUACUGGAUGCAGUGACAAUAGGAGCCAGCUCCCUGUCACCCACUGAGAAAGAUGAGCUCCAUAAAUCCAAGCCCUAGUUCACAGAAAGCCAAGUUCAUGUCUGGCCAGGACUGGGCAGCUGGUUUUUAAAACACGCACAUCCUUACAUUUGCUCCCUUUUUAAAAACCUAAGUCAGGCUUUACAUGUACAUAAGAAUGUUAGUGUCGUACUUUUAAUGUGGCUAUAAGGAAAAGGCCAGUAAGUAAAUAACCUGCCAAGUAUGUUUUUAAAAUGCAGCUGUGGAAGAAGUUUUAUGUAGAAAUCACUAAUUUUAAAAUCCUAUGUUGCUCUGAAUAAAUGGUUCACUUUUAUUAUUUGUUUUCUUUUAUUUUAUCUUGGUUUUAGCAGAUAAAAGUAUUUGCAAACCUACCAAUAAUAAACCAGAUUUUUAAAACUUCAGGAAUUGUUAGAGAGCAUUGCAUCCGGAGUACUGUCAAGUUCCCAGCUUAUGUCCAGACAAAUAAAUGCAAAAUCCGAGCAAGCUGGGAGACAGCACAUGCUGCUACUCAGCUCCUGCCGAUCUGCUUUAAAACAAAGAGAGAAACAAAGAUACAUUGUAUAUGACCUCUAUGAGAAAUUACACAUCUUUCCAAUGUAUUUAAAUUAAAAAAAAUGUAUAAACACUAUUAUGUGAUAAACAAUCCCUGUCUUCAGACCAUUUGGGGCCCAUAUUGGGCCAUUUUGUCACUUUUGGUCUAAUCCAGUUUCUCUACAUAGAAACUUUUCUUUCACCCUGUGGGAAGGUCAAGGUCACCUCUUGACCUCUUCAGGGUCAUGAGGGAGUUAGGAGUCAUAUAGGAGAACCCAGCCCCCCAGGCCUUGGUUAGCUUCACUACAUUAUCCUGCCACUUUCACUUGUCAUACGACAAGGGUAAAGUUGUGCUGUCAGUUAACUAACACGAGAGAGGAAAUACUAUUUUGCUUUUGUAUUUGGGAAGUGAAAAACACUUUCAAGUUGAAUUCAUAGGCUAAGGACUGUGGGAAAAUAAAGGGAGAUUUUUCCAGCCUGCGAUUUUCUGGUUGCAUGAGGAAGAGAGAAACACAUCCACAUGCACGAGGAAAUGGGGAUUGCUGGGAGAAUCCACGCAAGCCACUUCCAGUCCAUGCAGUCGACGUUCCCCAGCAGUUUCGUACAGCUCUCAUUCUUUCAUCCCAUUCUCCUUGAGAGUGAGCAUAAAACCCGCACCAAGUAUGAGAGAGGGAUCUUGCUUCUCUGCACUUCAUCGUCAUCGAUGGCUCCAACUGAAAGCACGUGUUCCCUUUAUCUCAAGGGGGGAGUUCGGCAUCCUUCAUAUUAGUUAUGUUUAUGUAAACGAGGAAUCUAAGGGUGAAAUUAUAAUUUAUGAGAACUGCAUGGAGCUUCUGACAAUCCUCAUAAACAUUCUAAACAACUGUAUCUUGUUGCAAAACAAAACAUACAUUUUUGUCGCCUAAUAAGCAUUUUUAUUAUGACAUUAUUUCUAUUCUGGACUGCCCUGUUACGGUGAACAAUACGGAGUGGGGUGGGGUGAUUUUUUUUUUCCUACAUGCUUAGAGGGAUUUGUUCACUAUAAUUCCUCCUUAAGGAUUAGUGGGCAGUAAAUAUUAUCCAUUAUCAAGUCUCAUCGAUUGGGAAAUUGACUACCAGUAUCUUUUGAAAUCCAGAGGUUAUUUUUGUUGUUGCUUGGUUGUUUUUGUUUUGUUUUGUUUUGUUUUAACAAAGUAAGCAGCAAGUUGCAGAUCCUUGAUACUGAGAUUGAGACUCCUUGACUCAUUUGGUCUCUACUGUUGUUAUUUAUUGUAUUCUUUUCUGGCCUCUGCAAAAAUAAACAGUAAGUGAUACUUCUCCAGUUAUGUUAUGAUUUCAGAAUAUGAUAAAUGUUCCAGUUGGCAUGCCACAGGCUCUGGUAGAGCAUGGGAGAGGGACUCAGACGUGUGACAUGGCAGAUGUCUUUUGAACCGUUAGUACCAUCAUUGAAUAAACAGUCAAAAUAUCUUAAUUAUAAUUAAGGGAGACAACAGCCCAUUUUCUUCCAGAGUUACUCGUUAUUUAAAACAAAAAGAAAGGCAAGCCAACUCUCCAAUUAGUUCGAACUUUCCUCCCUUUAAUAUUCUUUAUAUUGGUGGUGAGAAUAGAGACCAAAACCUGUUCAUUUUUUUCUCCAUUACUCCAUUUCUACUUAAGAUAGAAAAAAUAAAAAAUCUACCUUAUUUUUUUCCCUAAGACAUAUUUGAAUGAACAGCCAUUAGAAUCUUAGCUUCCAGUUUAAAUGCUCAUCCAAGGAUAACCAGUGUAAUCAGCUGAGCUUGCAAAGAAUACACAAUCAUAAAAUCAUUUAAUUAAAUUCUGUCAAUGCUGUUUGUUUUGGUGCCCAUUUGGGUAUUAAUAACACCGUUGCUGUUUUUAAUGCCAAAGGUUUACCACUUAAUUAUUAUCUUUGCUUAUUGGAGAUGUUAGCAUCAAUUUGUAAGGCUCUGUAAUCACACAGUGUGUCUUGCUCCACCAGAUACAACAUGCUUUCCAGAACUAGAGGUUCUAACAGCCUGUGCUUGAUCUAAAGAUGAAGUGGUGGAAAUCAAAUGAAAACAUUUGUUAAAUUGUAAAAAUGUAACAGAAAAUAAGAGCAGUUAUUCAGACUGUGAGUAAAUUUGAUGGGGUGUGAACUGAUCACUUUAUUGCACUCUGUUUAUAGCAUCCUGCCAUUUUCGGAGAUGGCAGCCCAAUCCUUUUCAUUGUCUUAAUUAGAUUAAGAAUGGAUUAGAGGAGCCAAAUCUAUUAUUAAAAAGGCAAUUCUACUGUGUUCCUGAAAACCCCCUUUUGGUUUUUAAUUUCUUAAAUUCCACUGAUGCAAAAUAGCAAAUGCCUUCCUUGUAAUUAUGAGCAUGUACGCCUUCAUUUAAAGGGCUGUAAAAGUAUUAGGAAAAUCAGAUCUUCAAUUUUCUUCAAAAUUAUUUCUGAAAAAAUAAGGGAAGAAAGGGAGGGAGAGAGGGGAUGGAGUGCUACAUUUCUUUUUGCUGUGAUGAAAAACAUGAGGAAACAAACAAUGUAAUUGUUUUCUUCUCCUUUUGAUUUGUUCAAACAUAAAAAGGGCAAUGCAUACUUAUAUGAACCGACAAUUUUUCCAUAUACGUUUGUUGUUUCAAUUUACUUCCACACCUGAAAUAGUUGAACGUGUAGGUUUCUUAUACUUCUGACUUAGAUUGCAUAUUGGUUCUGUGGGAAAUCUUCCAGGAUGAUUAUCUGGUUUUGCAUUUUGUAUAUCCAUCUCUCUCAUGUGCCUAUACAAAUGCAACUUUCAGUUUAAAGUUUUGCGUUCUGAUCUGCUAUAAACAUUAUACACGUAUUGCUUUAAACUCCAGGUGGAGCAGAGCUGCUGUGUUGGAAACCGGUGCUUUUUUUUCCCAAUAGGUGCCCUAGUUUUAAUUUAUUAUUGUUUUUUCCCCUCUAAACUGUGUCACCUUGAGAUGCUAUAUUUUACAUAUUUUCUCUACAUUUUAAAAUUACUAUAUAGUCAGUCAGGUGAUAAAAAUUUCAUCAUUUACAUGCACAAAUGAGUGCAUGUAAAAACUGGAAAAGUUCAAAUAAGGUCUCUGGUUUACUUAAUAGUACUAUUUACUUAAUAGCAAAUAUUAUACCAGUGUUGAUUUCCUGGUUUUGAUACUGUACUAUAGUUAUGUAAGAUGAUCUUGGAGAAAAACUGAGUGAAAGCUACCCAAGAACUCUUUGUACUAUUUUGUCAACUUAAAUUAUUUCAAAAUAAAAAGUUUAAAAAUUCAAUAUAUAGUUUUAGUCCAUUGACUUCUAAAUUGCUACCAGAAAAUAUUGAUCCCUACUUGAUCUAUAUUAAAUUAAUUUUGUUUUAAUAAACAAAAUUAACACAAUCAGAUAUCACCAGCCUUUUGAAGACUCACAAUUCUCUUCUUCUAACUCUGGCUUUGUUGCAUUUCCUACCCACUCAAUUCUAGUGCCCGUUAGUAUAGGGUUCAUAUUUGAAUGCUCUUUGUAUCCACAGAGCCCAACAUUGUGCUCUGGACAUAGUUUUUCUGGCAGUGCAUUUAACUGUUAAAUAUUUAAAUUGAAAUAUUUAGUCAUGGAAGGAUGGCUAAGUGAGUAAAGAACCACUAUACUAGCACAAUGCUUGCUGCACAGUAAACUUUCUGUACAUAUUCUGAAUGAAGGAAUAAGUUAAUUAAUCAAUUUUGUUCACAUGUGAAUUUCAUACCUUAGCAAGAUAGGACCCAGUGACUGCUAAGCCAUCUGUUCUCUUGAGCCCUAUGUGAUGGACUCGGAUUCUGAGAUUGCUCAUUAAUUGUCAUCGCUUCAGUGUGGUUCCGUGCUUGGGAUUGGAGGUCUUGAGGUGAUACCUAAUUUAGGAAGACUAUGACAAAAUUUAUCACUAAUUACCUGCCCCUCAAAUGGGAAUCAAUGCCAUCAGCAGCAUUCAAUGGUGAUAAUAAUGGUUAUCAUUUAUCAAGUGAUUAGUAUUCUAAGCAUUUUACCUGUUUCCCUCACUUUAAUUUUACUCCGUUGCUAGCUUAAAGUUUAGGAAAAAAACGUAUGUCCAGGGUCACCUGAAGUUGGCUUGUGAGUGGCAGAACAGGGCUCGAACCCAGGAAGCCUGGCUCCAGGGCAUAUGCUCUUAACUAUCACCUACAGGGUCUCCCCUUCAUGUGUAUGCCCUUAUCCUCUUCAAUGGUGCGUGGUUGUAUUAGAUGUAUUAGAACACUGGAGAUGUAUUAGAACUCUCUUGGGGACCUCUUCCUGGACCCACUCCCAGUUACACUUAUUUAUUUACUUUGUCUGGGGCUGGGCAUUUUGUUAAACUUCCGAGGUGAUUGUAAUGUGCAGCCACGGUGAGCAUCACUCGCUUAGCUGAAUGUCAGAACUCCUUCAACGUCCGUGAAUAGUGGACGCUAUUUAUUCUACUUCUAAGUUCAUUAAGUCCAUGCACAGCUACAGCAAAACAGAGUGGUUGUCCCAGCCAUUUGGAGAGAUGGAGCUGGGAGCCCACUCACCUUCUCUGCAAUAAAUCUCCCCACAUGUUGUGAAGCAACCUGCUUUUUAUGUUCUCAGCUAGAGGGUUUCCAUCUCUGCCCUGCACCAUCUGUCAUGGAUGUUCAUUUUAAUAGCAUUUUACCUGUAUAAAGGUGUCUAUCCCCCCCUACAUUCCAAGAAGAAGAGGAUCUAAACCAGAAAUCCUAAAAGUUACCCAAGCAGUUUAUUGAGGCAGUUCAGGUAAAUCAGUGAAGAAAACAGAUCACCAAGUAGUGAACACCCCCUUUUGUAAAAGACAAUUGGGAUGGUUGUCACUAGGGCACACUGGAGAGUGUAUGUCCCAUUACAAGGGGCACUCACUACUCACAUCCCAUAAGGUAGGCACAUAGAAAUACCGCCCAGUAUGCUAGAUCUUCCAGUUUCUCGGGAGACUACAGAAAUCUAAGUUUUUGUUUGUUUUGCUUGGUUUUGUUUUGUUUUUCUAUUGUGAAAUGACUUGACAGAUAGUCCCAUCUGUUUUCUUUUCUGCACUGUACAGGUCAAUAUUGUGUCACCAGUGACAAUGUGGAAGGAAUGUACACAGCUCAGAGAAAGUAGCACCUUUAUGUAAAUACUUUUUUUUUUUUUUUUGCAUUUUUAAGUAAAUUCUUGAUCCUUUCUCACUAACUACCAAGUAUGACAGGCCCCAAUCUUUGUCAGAGACUGGCAUUCUGGCUUUAGACAAGGCAAAGAAUUUAGUGGACCCUGUUUCCUCUCCUGUGAAAUUGAACCUAGAGGAGGGCAUUGUAGAAUUAGAGGGUUUGUUAAAGGCAUAAUCUCUGAAGUUAGGACUGGUAUGGAUUGGAUGGGAUCCUGGUGCUGCUACUUACCAGCUCUGUGAAUUUUAAUAAGUUAUUUAGCACUGAGCCUACAUGCCCGCCUCUAUAAAAAUGGAAACAUAAGAUAACUGACUCUCAUGGUUGUCCUGAGUAUUAAAAUAAAUUGUGCAUGCAAAGUGCUUAGACCUGGUAAAGCACCAGUUCUACUAAUAAUAAAAGGUAUAUUUAAUGACAGCAAUGUUUUCAAUAGCCUAAAAUCAGCCAAACCAUUGCCCGAGACUUUGUCCCAUUGCUCUGGUUGGCCCUGAGCGUUGUGUUGGAUAAACAUGCUCACUCCGAUUUUGCCAGUCCUUUUAUUGCUACUUCAAGACCUUUCCCUGUUAGUCCUUUUCUGAAAUUAGUAGGACUGACAGCUCCAUGGUGAGGGACAAAAUCCAAGUUUUCUAACUCCUUUCUACCCCCCACUAAUAGAGCCCAUACUGAUCUGGAGGUUAUGCCUGUAGAACCAGAGGAAAUAUCUCCUUGGGAUGAUUAGAAGCAAAGUGUGAUUAAUAAUGAAUAUAUGUAUGUAUUUUAAGAGUAGGGUUGUGUUAAAAUGUGAAGAGUCAAUAAAUGCCUGUUAACCUUGUCAGAGGUCAAUAGUCGGCCGGGUGGUUGGUUCUGCAGCCUGAGCAUCUGCAGUCUAAUUCAGACCUGCCCUUGGAUCUGACAAUGGUACAUGCAAUUAGGAAAAUGUCUCUGUAAUAAUGGUAAUCGGUGUAAACCAAGAGGACAGGGCACAGCUGUGGGGAGCAUUUGGAGAGAGGAAUCAGAACAAUUCAUGCACUCCUGAGAAAGCAAGCCUCAAGCUAUCCUUUUUCAGUAUAAGUCUGCAGUAGCUUUCAAUUCCCUCUUGAAAAGUUGACUGAAAAGCAUUUUAAAAAUAAGUGUAGGACUCUUAAGUCAAAAACUGUUCAUGGUCCUCUUUCUUUCCUCCCAACUCAUGAAUGGGUUGGGAUUAUGGAUCUUCCUUUUUCAUAACGCCACUAUGGAUUUAAAUAUCUAACUCAAACUCUAUUGGAUAAAACUUUGCUCUUUGGCUGUUAUUUUUUUUUUUCCCCUCAAGAAGUGAGCUCAAAAUGUGCUAUAGAAAAUCUGUCUCUUGAGAACAUAUAUCAAUUCAGCUUUGCGCCACUUGAAAUGUUGAUAUUUGUAAAUGAGAGAGCUCCCGUGCUAGACUUACAGCCCUCCUCUCCUCUUUCAGUUCUUAAGAGAAGCAAUCUUCAGAGAAGAAACGUUUUUUACUCAUCUUUGAUUUUGAAAGAGAUUUAGAGGUCUGGGCCACCUUCAUGUCCCAGGUUAUUUUUUAGUCUUCCCGUUGUUCACUUUCUCUAACCCCUAAGUAACAGACAAGAGUUCCCUGGCUUCUCCCCAUAAAAAAGAUAAUGCCUCAAUUCACAACCAGCUCUGAAUAAUUAAUGAUGAUAAUGAUGUGAGAAUGUUUCACAUUUAUGACUGUUUUAGAUUUCCCUUUUACAUCCAUUUUUCUUUUUGAUCCUAAUGCCAACCUAAGACGGAAGAAGAAAGACAGGAUGGAAAAGACUUUGGACGUUUAUUUAUCCUUUGAUUUACUCAUCCAUUCAACAAUUUUUUAAGAAGUAAUUAUGUGUGCUAGACAUUGUUCUAGGAGCAAAGUCUACAGCAUGGAAGAGACAAGGUCUCAAUGCAUUUUAUUGGGAGGACCAGGCAAUAAUUACACAAAUGAAUGAAUAAGAUCAUUUCAGAUAAUGAUACUUGCUGUGAAGAAAAUAAAACAGGAUGUCUUUGGAGAGAAUCUACCAUUGUUGGUUUAGAUUGGGUUGUCAGAGAAAGCCAUGCAGGGGUGAGGACAUUUGAACUGCAAUCUAAGUGAUUUAAGAAAAGCCAUGGUUGAGGUCUUGGGAAAGCAAGUCAAAUUCAAAGCCCCCCAGGUGAGAAGACUGGUGGAGUGGGAAGAAUGGUGGGAGAUACAGGGAAAGGUAAGCAGGGGCCAGGUCAUUUGGGACCUUCUACGUCAUGGCAAGGAUAUUAAAUGAGCCAUUACUUCAUUGUGGGAUACCUAACAUAGGUAUGCAGUUAGCAAACACGUUUGAUAUAGACUGAGCUGGAGUGUUUCAAAUUGUGGUCGUGGCCCACGUGCAUCAAAGUCAUCUAGGGGUGCUUAUUUCAAAUGACAAUUUUGGGGACCCCACUGCAUGCUUAUGAAUUCAGAAUUUCUGAGGGUGGAGCUGUUAAUCCGCAUUUUCGACAAACUCUUAGGCGCAAUUUGAGAAUUGGCCGCAUUUUCACUUCUCUUAAGAAGCUCCUACUAUACUGUAAAAAUCUCUAAGGCCAAAAUGGUUAGGCUGAGGGGAGUGCAUAUUUAAUGAGAAUCUCCUGCUGACAGCUGCAUGUGUUUACACUAUUUUAUAUACUGGAUCUUAAUAAGAUUACAUAAGUGUCUCCAUUUUUCACAUGUUUGCAAUUUAUCUUUAUUAAUUCAAGCAAAAUGAGUGAAAUUGGGAAAUUAAUUAUCUUUCCACUUUUGUAGUAUUUGGUUUAUUUGAUUUUAUUAUCAAAAAGUAAACAGAAGCUUGGCUGAGGGAGACAUGUGUUGAGAAAUAACCCUCUGGGCUGUUCGUACUAGCAAACCUCUGAAAUCUGAGAGCUCAGGACUAGAACAUUCCACAUAUAAGUAUGCCAUGCUUUCAACACCUAUAUUUGCCUUAAUGAACUAAUUAUUUUUAAAAGGAGAAGAAUUCGAUAAAACAAUGACUUGAGCUUCAGAGUAAACUUCUACCUGUGGGCACGUGCUAUCCAAAUGUCAGCAAAGAUUUAGGUUCCUCUUCUCUCCCCUGUUCGGUUUUUAGAAAGACAUCAGAGGAAAAGAUCCAGCGUUAGUCAUACCACAAGGUUCAAAUGUGAGUGUUGUUCCCAUUCCGAGUACAUUGUGUUUUUAAAAAUCCCUCAAACCCUGUAGACAUGGAAAUUGCUUAAAGUAGUGUUUCCAGGCAUGAAGAUGACAGAUCCUCAGCUGGAAGGAGGGAUGUGGCUUAAGAGCUAUCUUGCUGUAUGUAUGUUCCAAUUCAAACAGCCACAGAGGAGGCCAGAAGGGUGGGAAUUCCUUCCUGUCAUCUUCAGAGUUUUCGCUCCGUUUGCUCCUCUCCGAUGUUCCCCUCUCUCGCUGACUUGCCAAAGCUGCAUCACGGGUUGUCACCUAUUUUCUCUUCCUGCUACCUGUGUCCUAACAAAAUAUGCAAUUGUUUGUUCUUGUGGCAGGGAAACCAGGAAAAGCAAAUGUUUUUUAAGCAUUUUUUAAGCAUUUUAUUAUUUAGCAAAUUUUAAGCAUUUUUUUUAAGCAUUUUAUAAAUAUCUCUUAUAUCUUGUCCUCCUAAAAAUAAAAUGACACAGUAAGACACUGCAUGACAUGGCAGAAAGGUAAGCUUUGCUUUGGGGACCCCAGCCCAAGAAAUGGGGCUGGUAUUUUUUGUUCCAGAGCCAAGUACUUUGAAUGUAGAUCAUUUAAUAAGGUCCCAUCCUCCUCUCCUUAAAAAAAAAAAAAAAAAGAGAGAGACUACAUUUGUUUCACUUUCUGAGUUUUAUCUAUUUUUUUUUUGUUCUGUUUUAUUCAGUGGCAUGAUUCCUACAGAAAAUUCCUAGGAUACAGAUAAGUGUAUCCCCUUUUCCCAACUUGUCUGGUUUUUCUUUAUCAUUUCAAAGAACACGUGGAUUUGUGUUUUGUUUUGUUUUUUAACAUUCUUUCAGAUUCACCAGCUCCAGUGACUUUAGCCAGUGCAAUUUCACUUUCCUUCUUAACUUUAAGCUUACCACCAAACCAGACAUUUUUACAACGUGGCAGUCUGCAGGCUACCUCCAGGCCAACAGGAGUUUGUUUAGCCAGCACAGUGAUUUUGUUUAUUAUUAUUAUUUAUUAUAUUGUUUAUUAUUACUGAACUAGAAUGCCUUUAGAUGAGUGAGCUCCCCACAGUGACCUGAUUUGCAAGUCCCUCAUACCUGGCAGCUUCACACACUGGCCUUAGAAGGAAUCCUUGCAAGACCAAGUCUUGUUCUGGUCUCCUUUGUAGCAUCUUUGUCUUUUCUUUUGCUUGUACAACUGCUAAGUUUUGGGGAGUGUGCAGGAUGCUAGUUGAGCAGCAGAUUGUUUUGGUUUUGUUUUUGUUUCUUUUUAAAAAAUUUUUUCCUAUAUAUAGUCAUAUAGAAUCUAUCUUCUUUGGGAGAUUUCAAUAAUUAUUUAAAAGUUAGGUGGUUUUGAUGUUUUCUUUGCCAAUAUGUACCGUCUAAUUUAUGUGCUACUUCUUACCCUCCCAAAGACAAACUUCCUGAUAUAUAACAAGUUACUCAUCCAGGUAAAAAGAGUGUUUUGAGCCUCUGAUAUUUUGACUCUGCCAUGUGGGACUUUGGGAUUCAGGAACUUUUCCUUAACAAGAGCCUGAUGGCAUUCUUUUUACUUAAGACUUCAUAACAAGAAGAUUUGCUGGGAAUGACAAAAUAUAUUCGGUAAUAUGCUUACCAAACACUUAGCGAAGUGUGUAUGUGCAGAUACAUAAUGUCGAGAGCUAUAAACAAGGUGCUUCUUGCACUGAGACCAUUCUGUUUCAUUAAGAAACUAUUCACCCUGUUAACUAUUUCCACAUCCUCUUCUUUCAUCACCUAGUUGUGAGUUAUUUGCUGAUUUCCAGCGUUCUAUUCCCUGAGGCCCCGUUUAGCAAAUCACUUCCUUAAAUCAUGGCUGGUUUAUCAAAAAGAGAUAACUCUCACAUCACCUUUUCACAGUAAAUGCAGGUUCAGAUUUUCACACUCAUCUUCAUCACCUGUGUUCUAGUCCUAGCAACUGCUGUUCUGAAUUUGCUUUUUGUAAAGUGUUUUCAAAGCUAGGACUAAGAUGAUUUUGCCUACCGCCUACAGCAACUGCCUGUUAUUAUCAAUAAGUUGAAUUCCAUAUGCAAUGAGGUGACUUUGUAAAAUACAAGACCAUUUCGUGGUUGCAGUCAUCCUUACUAUUCAGAUGUAUUUUUUUGUCCGUGUUUACCAUAAUUAUUUUAUUAUCACAGACCAUGUGACUGAAGCCAUUCAAAAUGUUAUUGCUAUUAUUUAACUAUUACCUACUGAGUUUUUUAGGGACUAUACUUACAACAAUGUUUAUGAAUUAUGAAAUAUUUACUGAUGUGUAUGUGAUUAUUUUUAUAUGUCUGUGUGUCCCAGAUAAGGAAUAAACAAAGGCAGAGGUAAAGCAACUAUAAGUUAGAUAAGGAAAGUUGUCUCGGGUGUAUCAGUUAUCUAUUGCUGUGUAACAAAUUACUCCAAAACUUGCUGGUUUAAAACCAUGAACAUUUAAUAAUGCCCACAAUUUUUAUGGAUCGGAAAUUUGGGAGUGGAUUAAUUAGGCAGCGCCGGUACAAGACCUCUCAUGAGGUUGCAGUCAAAAUGUCUGCCCAACUGUGGUCAUCUCAAGUCUUAAUUGGGGAAAAAUGAUCUUUUUCCUGAAUAGCUAAAUUAUACCAGCUGGCAAAUUGGUGCUGGCUGGCUGUUGGUGAGAAUCCUAAGAUUUUCCCUGCUGGAAUUCUUCCCCAAGUUGCUCGAGUGUCUUCGUGACACGACAGCUUGCAUCCCCUCAAAGCAGGAGAGUCAAGAGAGAGGAAUAAGGAAUCUCUACUGUGACCCAGCCUUGGGACCCAUUGUUAAGACCCACAGUUAUUUCUGCCAUGAUCUGCUGAUCAGAAGUGAGUCACUGAGUCUAUCUCACAUUAAAGGAGAGAAAGGUUAGGCUCUGUUGGGAAGGAGGAAGUGUCAAAGAAUUUGUGAGCAUAUUCUAAAACUACCACACCAAACUUCUGUAAUUGUUAACUUUUAUAAUACCCAUAUAUUCCCUGAGUUGAGGUCGCUUGUCAAUAUUUGUCUUUGCCGUUCUCAAAAUGUGAUCUGAAGGCCACCGUGGAAGGUAGGGUUCUUCAGGUACCCAGAAUGGUCUCAGGUUAGACAAUGUUACAUGGGCUUACAUGCUGUGUGUUUCUUUCAUGGCUUCAAAGAUUGGUUGAUAUAUGUAAUAACACUGACACCACUGGUUGCUGUCCCACAUAAAGCAAUUCCAGUCUUCCCUAUUCAUUUGGUUAAGUGGCCAUUUUUAAAAGAGAAAACAGAUGCAUGACUAGGUCAGUGGCGUAUAAACAUGAAUUCUGCAUAUAAUUCACCCGAAGCUUUUUAAAAACAAAGAUUCCUGGGCACCAGCCCAGAUUUACUAAAUCAUAAGCUCUAGGGAAUGGAGCCCUGGGGAUUGUUUUGUUUUUUGUUUUUUUUUUAAAGCUUCAGUUGAUUCUGAUAUAGCCAGUUAGGACAGUAUUUUGGAACCACUGCCAUACACAACUAAAUCUCUCUACCAACUAAAAUCAUUUGAAAAGGACGACAUCCUGCAAAAGGGAAAUCAUUGGCGCUCUCAUGAUAAUCAACCUCAUUUUGCUUUCUGAAAAGCCUCCGUCUGGGUUUCCAGGCACUUUCCCCACUCCAGCCCCUUGAUGGACAAGGACUGUCUGGUUCUGUCACUGCAUCCCCAAAGGCAGUCACACUAGGGGCCGCCACAGUGGUGAGGGCAUUGGCCCAGAAAUGCAUUGUUCACGCCUUCCCGAAGACAAUGACUCUCUUUCUGAUUAGAGUUGUCCUCCUUUUACCCAAAGGCUUUCCAUGCAACCAAGAGAGCAUAACAGUGACAUGAGGGCUUGGAAAGGAAAUGUCUUCAUCGAUUUUUAUUUCAUGAAUUGGAGCCUCUAUAAAAAUGGCACAGACUUGUUUUACAGUGUCAAUUUGUGGAAUAGAGGGGAGGACUGUUAAAACCCAUCCAUUUUCCCAAAGUUUAAACCACCCUAAUGAAUUAAUCCAUAGAUAAUGGAUUGAAUUCAGUGCAAUUACCCUAGUAAGUAAGGCUUGUUAAAAAGAGAUAAGGCAACACACUAAAGAAAACAGCAAUUUCAGCUAUUAACUGGAUUUCAUCUGGGCUCUGAUAAUUCAGUAUAUGAGUUCCCUUUGAAAAGAGAGAAUGUGAGGUCCUAUUAUCAGUGUAGCUACCAGAUGCUGGAGUUCACCUGUUGAUAUUACACUGCAGAAAAAGACAAUAAAACAAUAAUUCUGACACGAUUUUUCCAACAACCUCAAGGUAUUUAUGAUGUAUAUUUGACAUUCCCCAGUAAAUCUUUACACAUUAAAGCUUUGAUUCCCUAAGACAGCAAGCUCAUCUUUGUUUCAACUUUACUCUGUAUAAAUGUAUCUCAGUUACAUAUAAAGAGGUCUACUUUAUUUUGAAUGAACUGCUAAUGAGAAAAUUUCUAGUUAUCACACAAAAUAAGUAGGAUCACAAGAAUGUCCUGUAUGUGUAAAUAACUUUGCAGAGGAAAAGAAGUGCUUUAGCAAUCACUCUGUGCAUAUCAAAUCUCUGUGCCCAGGCAUUAGAAGUUUAACACCCAGCCCUAGGGCUCAGAAUGCUGCCAACUUGGAACUUGAUUUCUAGAAGCUCACCUGCGUUUGUCUUCUAGUUCUUAUUCCUACCACUGUAUUCAGGUCUUUGUCCCUCUUGUUUUCUGUUUGUUUUCUUCAGAAAGCUCCUAAGUGACUUCUCUUCUGUCUUGCAUAUUCCUGCUCUUUGGAUUGUAUCCAAAGAUGGUAUUGUCAUUUUCUCCCUGCCCUAUUAAAAAAUCUACAGUCAUUUCAAUUACUUAUAGGUGUGACCCAAAGGCCCCAGCUUAACAUUUUAGGCCCUCACUGGUCUAGUUUUCUUCAUAUUUUCAUUGGCUUUUAUUAUCUUCCUGCAUGGUAUUAUGCUUUGGAUGUUCCUUCUUCCUUGUUCACGAUCUGAGAUUUCUAGUACUAUGAUAGAGGCCCACCUCCCGAAACUACACCGUAGGUCCCCAUCAAUUCCUCUUCCUUUCUAAAACAUUCUUCUCUUUUCAUACCCAUUAAUCCCCACCACCUAGGAGUGUCUAUGGCAGUGGGAAGCAGAGUAUAAGGUAUAAGUAUAUAGUAGGGCAGAAUAUAAGGUGGUGUAGAGAUUGUAGGCUUUAGGAUAAAUUGGCCUGAGUUCAAAUUCUGCCUGUAACAUUUGUGAAUGGUAUAACCUUGAACAAACAACCUCUCUGGCCUCAGAUUCAUUUUGUAAUGAGGUAAUAAUACUACCUUUUAAAAAUAUGGUACAACUUUAAGUGAGGAUAGAGAAAGCCUUUGGCAUGCUGUUAUUGUUGCUAAUAUUCUGCAGUUGACCAUUUACUCUUAUACCCUUGUUUUACUCAUUGACUUUUUAACUGUGAAUUGCUCGCAUUGUCUUCCAAAUAUAUUGGCAAUCACCUAAAAAAAGCUUGUGCCUUUGGAUCUUCUACUGUUGCAUCUGCAAUAGAGCUUUGCAUAAAGUAAUGAUAGUGAAUAAUUAUCAUAAUUUAUUAAGCACUUAUAGUAAGUCAAGUACUCUGCUAUAUUAACCCCCCACCAAACAAUCUAUGAAGUAAAUCCUAUUAUCACCAUUUUUCGCAUUAGAAAAGUUGGGAUUUGAGCUCUAAGGUCUCAUAGCAUGAACAUGGUAGAACAAGACGCUGAACAAGGCCAAAAGGUUAAAAUUUUGACUUCUAGAAGAGAGAGAAAGAGAGAUUGAGAGAGAGAGAGAGAGACAGACCUAGGUUCAAAUCCUGGUUUGCCACUUUCUAGAUGUGUGACAUUGAGUGAAUUUCUUAAUCUCUACAAGCCUCAGUUUUCUUUUCUGUAAAAUAAGGAUAUUAAUAGUAUUUACCUUAUAAUUCUUCUGAAGAUUAAAUGAGGUAAUAUAUGUAAAGUACCUGGCAUGUUCUAAAGGCUCUAUAAAUGUUCACUAUUAAUAUCUAAUAAUUAUGUCUGUGUAACUUGCUCACUUAAAUCUUAUCACAGUGCCUUGUUGGUACAUGUUAGUCAAUCUAUUGUUUGCAUAUCACAGUCUCUCUGUUCCAAAAUAGUUGAAAUAAGUCAUAGAAAAUCUAGGACUGAGCAGGUACAUGCAUUGAUUUCAAACUAGAACAUAAACCUGGAUGGACUCUGAGCACUUUCAAGGCUUACCGUUGGAGUGAUAAUAACAUUCCAUACUCACCUUGGCAGCGUCCAGUAAAUACACAUGUCUGGUUUUCUCAUUGCUAUAUAGAAAGUCAACUACACUAACGCAUAAAACUCUCUGGGGUUUGGGAAAAUUAUUGCACUGCUUGUUCUUUAUGACACCACCCAGGGUGUGUUAUAAUCACCCAGAAAGGCAGUGCUUGUUGUGUCUUGUUGUGAUUCAGUCUCUAUGUAGAAAGAGAAGGAGAAAGAGGAAGAGGAGGAGGAGGAGGAAGAAGAAGAGGAGGAGGAGGAGGAGAAAUGGGACUGUGCUGUGGGAAAUCCAAGUGUAGCAGUCCCCUUUACUCAAUGGGGAUACCUUUCAAGACCCCCCAGAGGAUGGCUGAAACCAUAAAGAGUACCAAACCCUAUAUAUAAAAUGCACAGAUUUCUUUUAUCUUCUUCACAGUAUCACAGACAGAAGAUUCGUUCUUACCGUAGUUCUUAGCAACCUCAGCAUAUAAUUUUUUUUCUUUCCUUAUUAAGUUGAGAAAUUUUACUUUUUCACUUAAAGGAAGCAGUUUAUGGCUUCUCUUUCACGUAUUCGAAUUGCCCGUAUCACCGCUCUUGUGCUUUGGGGCCACCAUUAAGUGACAUUAGGGUGACUUGAACACAAAGCACUGCGGUACCUGGCAGUAGAUCUGAUAAGCGAGCCAGCUAGGAAGUGACUAAUGGGUGGGGGAGCUUCCACAGCAGGGACACACUGGAUGAAGGGGUGACUCAGACCCCGGGCGGGAUGCAGUGGGGCAGCGUGAGAUUUCAUCACACUACUUAGAACGGCACACAGUUUAAAACUUAUACAUUUUUUAUUUUUGGAAUUUUCCAUUUAAUGUUUUCAGACCACAGUUGAUCACGGGUAACUGAAGCUGCGGAAAGAGAAACUAUCACAGAUAAGAGGGGAGCAUACUGCACACUCCUUUGGGGGGUUUCAAGGGUCUCGAGACAAUAUGUGGUGAUUUCAGUAACUGUCGAUCUUAAAAACAUUUCCAGUGAAACCCUCACAUUUCUCAAAACAGUUAUUCUUUAAAAUAGAAUAACCAUUUAUAAUAUACUUAAAGCCAAAUUGGAACAGUAUAUUAGGAAUGUAACAUCUAAGAGUGUCACUACUCAGAAGGGAAAUUAACAAGGCAGAGAUACAUGGAGCUAUAUUUGCGAGUAGUUCUUCUCUACUGGGAAGGCCCCAGAGUGGGAAAUUGUCACCUGAGGCAAAAUUAUGAAGAAGAUUGAUUCAUUUUCAGUCCACCUAGGAAAGUGCUCCCCAGUGUCUUCCUGUAGUCAACAGGGCAGAGAUUGCACUUCUAGCAUAGUACUUAUGGUGGUUAUGUACUCAUUCACUCAUUCAACAAUUGUUCAUUGAGUGCCUACUGUGUACUAUGCGCUAUUGUGGCUUUUUGGGCUUUAAGGGAGAUGAGAUCCCUGCCCUUUUGUUGCUUGCAUUAUAGUUGAGAGAGACCGUCAGUAAGCUUGGAAAUAAAUAAACACAAUAACUUCCUGUAGUGAUUUGGGCUAUAAAGAAAAGAUAAUGAAAUACAAAAUGGACUGGCAGGCAAAGAGGCUAUUUCAUAGAGAGUGGUCCGGGCAUGGCUCAGUGAGAGUGUGACAUUUGAGCUGACACUAGAACAUUGAGAAGGUACCAGCUAUGGAAAGAUCUGGAAUUCCAGGCAGAGAAAAGAGCUACAUCAAAGGUACUAAGAUAGAACCCUGUGGAGUGUGCUCAGAGGUGAAAAGAAACUGGACAUGGCUGAAGAGUUGGGAGUAAGGAGGAGAGGGUAGCCGGGGGCCAGCUGGUGUAUGUCCUGUAGUUCCCAGCAUGCAGUUUGGGGAAGCUCAGCUCUGCCCCUCCAAAGGGGAGUCUUCAAAGGUAUAGAAAUGAGCUCACUUUCAGUAAGCAUUUACUGUAUUCCUACUAUUGUUCCCGACUUGACUCAUCUCACCUUGUCUAAGAAUGCUUUCCUUAUAUCUUAGCCCAUAGCCUUUGCCUGUUAACUUAUUCUAUUCCCUUUUCAAAUUUUGCUUUAAACACCACUUCCCCAGGAAAGUGAGGCUUCCCUGAGCCUUUGACUCCUCCCAGCCCCCCUAGGUCAAAACACCUGUCACGCACCCUCAUGAACACUUUGGCCUUUUCAUUCCUAACGCAGAUGGUGGAUUGUACUUAAGUCUUUGAUUAUUGAUCUUCCCUUCUCUCUUGAUUGUGAGCACGGGCAGGCCAGGAACCCAUCAGUUUUGCUCACCGUUGUUCUCUCAGCACCUGCCACGAUGCCAGGCACAUAGAACAUAUGCCACUGCUCCUGUCCCUGUUGAUCCUGGCAGGACAUUGGCUGCCCAGAAGGAGUGGCUGUAACUGCAUCACAUCUGCGGCCGUCAAUCGGGGGUUUUAAACAGCACCUAUAGAAGUUGCCUUUCCCACACUCUCAGCCCUCUGAUCAUGGCUCUAGAGGGCUCUAGAAGCUUCCUGUCAAGGAGGACCUGAAGUGGAAAUGAGCAUCAUGAGUCCCCCUGCUCACUGCAGCGUCUCUGGGGAAGAGCGUCCCUGAUCCCAAGAUGCCAGGGAACUCCUCGAGGAAGAGGAAGUUCUUGGAGAAAACUGUUCCACAUCCUUUGUGAAUAAAUUGGCCUAUUGCAGAGUAUGGUGAAUAUACAUGUAAAUGUAAUAAAAUGUCAAAGUGGCACUGGAGAAGAGACUCACUAAAUCGACUCAGCACUACAUGUGGAAUCAGAUCUCUAAUGCAUAUUUGUAAGGCAACCAAUAGAGCCAUAUUCCAAACUGCCCCGUUGAGAGAAAUAAAUCAAUUAUGAACACUGAAGUGAUUAAGCCUUUUUACCUUUCAUUGUCAAAGCAGUCCCUUUACUUUGUUUACUUUGGAACGCACCAGUGUAGGUGACUGGUACACACACACACACACACACACACACACAUGCACACACACACAACAUGCACAUGUGUGUAUGUAAGGUAGAUUAAGUACCCAGCCCAGUAUCUAGCACAAUGUAGCACUAUCCAGCUAUUUUUUAUAGAUUUUUUUAAAUGCCCUAGUCUUAAUCACAUUGACAAAAAUCAAAAAACCAAGAGAGGUUCAUAGGACCUGACAAGCAUGUUUUAUUGCUUUAAAGUGUGAUUUCUCUGUCAUUAUCCUGUAUCCCUUUCCGAAGUAUAGUUGACAGAGUAGAUACGUUAUGAGUAAGGAGCUAGUAGCAGGAGGAAUUGAGAAUGCUUGCAAGGUUUCUAGGUUGUGUAAUAAAGAAUAGCAGUGAAAGAGCAAAUUUAGGAGGACAUAAAAGUAUAAUAUCAGAUAUUUUUGAGUUUGAAAUAUGGGUGACAUAUCUACAUGGAGAUUUCUGGAAGGCGGUGGCUCAAGUUAGAAGCUGGGAUCCAGUAGUGUUUAGUGAAUACCCACAGCCAUGCAAAAGAUGAUGUAGAAACUGGCGGAGUUCUCCAAGUAAUUUGGAGGUAUGUAGAUUUAUGAGACAGAGCCCCUCUGUUCAAGGAGUUUACGUUCUUUUCAGGUUGACAAGAUAAACUUAUCAACACUUACAAGUUUGAAAAGUUUUGCAAAGAAUAAAUGUUUAGGACCGGAAUAGUUGGCAUAAGCUUCCAGAAAAGAAAGUUAAGACUUGAAUUAGCCCUUGAAAACUUGAGUGGAAUUUGGAGAGGAAAGUUUUUAGGAGACAUUCAGGGAUAAUUGGAGCAAAUCAGUCAAAAUAUUCUUGAAAACACAUGGCAAAUGCUGGCUUUAAUCCAAGCAAAUUUUACUUCAAAACAUCAGGUAGAGUUUCAUCUGAAGCUCUCCAAGUGUUAGCUUAAGGGAUAUUUAAGGGAUAUUUCUAAAGCAUAACUGAAUUGGUGGUGCCAAUCAACCUAACCAUCGUAUGGUUUAGCUUGGCUCCCCAAAAUACAGUCCUAACAGAUUAGCUACCUCUCUUCCCGUCCUCUCUCUGUCUGCCUUUUCUUUCUCUCUCUUCUUUCUGUCCCUCCAUCUUUUUAAGACUAUUAACUAAUCACCUUAUAUGAUCUGGAUACCGUACCCUCCUAUUCAAUUCUACCAAAGAGAUUAAUCAAUGGAAAUAUAUCUUAAAAGAACAUCAUAGAUUAUUUUGCAGUCCCUAUGUGAAGGGCAGUAUUUUUUUAUUACCAACAGCAAUUUUUCUUUGGUCCAUUGAUUCAAUCCCAAGAAAGAAAUUUCCCUCUUUUAUCAGGAAUGAUUGUAUGUUUCCUGAGCAACUGGUUUCUUUCUGUCUUAUGAAUAUCAGGGGCGUUGUAACUGCUUGUAUUUCCUCUUUAAGUUGGUUGCUAGAAAACAUGGGCUUGGAAACAGAUUUGUGGCUCGGAUGUAUGGAAUCAUAAACUACAGGCUGGGGCAUAGGAUUCAAAACAGCUCAACAAGUGAUUCUGAUGAUCCAGUGAGAUUGAAAACUAUGGCUUUUGUUUCUGUUUUUAAGACACGUGCAAUUUGUGAUGAAUAUUUGGCCCAUGAUGGCAUCCCAGUGCAGCCCCAGAUUACUGGUGCAGAUUACUGGGACAUGCAAGGAAUUCUGGUGAUAUUUGGAUACUUUACAAAUAACUUAAGUUUUAAAACUCCAUAAAGUUAGAGAACGCCUCUACAAAGUUACGAAUUCUCUUUUUGGAAUCUUAGUUUUAUACUUAAAAAUUGGGGUUAAUUAUUAAUGUUAGCAUUUGAUCAAAUCAUUAGUAUUUGGUUUUAAUUGUUGAUGUUUUUACACCAAGCACAUAGAAGGGGCUUCAUAAAUGUCUGAGGAAUUUAACUGAUUUUUUUUUUUAUAAGAGAGACACAGAAAAGUUAAAUGACUCAAUCAGGGUCAUCCAGCUACUUAGAUGCAGAAACCACUGCUUGUGCUAGGACUCACUCUUUUGAUUCAUAGUCCAAUGUUGUCCUUGUAGUACUGGCUUCAUAAAGAAAACUGAUGGCUCCGUAAAUAAAGUUCUUUUGCCAUGUACUUAAGUUAAAGCGAUCCCACUUGAAUCCCCUGAGUUGCCCAACUUAGCCAGGGAGAAACUGUUAAACCUUUGGUAUAUUAAAAACCUCUCCAAAGCAGCCAUUUAUUUGUGCUCAAAAACCUUUUAUUUAACUGUUAUUUUUGUCUAUAAUCAUAGAGAUGAGCACCAAAGAGAGGUUUUUGUGAACAUAACUAGAAUGUUAGACAUUGAUUGUGGUCGAUGAGUCCAUGGUUGAGUUUUUGGCCGAUCAGAAUAUUACGGGAUACUAGCAUGUUCAAGUCCCAAGUGGGAAAUGCUAUACUUUUAAACAUUGACUUUGCCAUUUUUUUAGAGCAGUGUUUCUCAAAUGUGGUGCAGGAAGGAGCUAUUGAACUUCUUUUCACUUAUUUGAUCACAUCUUUGUAAAAUGCUAUGUACAUUUAAUAGCAUAUGCAAUAAUAGCAGAUACAUAGUUUAUAUAUAGAAGUAUAUAACUUAUAAAUAAGUAUACGUAAAAUGUGCAUUUGUGCCCUUUAAAAAAAACUGAUAUGAACACAUACCAGUAUAAAUUUCAGACCACUGAUACAGUUCUGAAAACUAAUUUUUCAUUUGUUUCUAUCCAAGACCACUAAGAGAAACAAACCCACCAUAGGUUCUUUCCUCUCUUCCAGUCUCCCUCCUUCCCUCCUUCUCUCUCUCUCUCUCUCUCUCUCUCUCUCUCUCUCUCUCUCUCUCUUUUUCUUUCUUAUUUAUUUAUUUUUUCUGAGAUGUUCUCUAAGGGCAUAUCUGCAUUCUCAAUAGACCAAACUCAAAGAAAUAGCAGUUACAAAGUUGAACCAAUCACCAGUCCCAAUAGUAACUAAGCAUUCCAGCCGUUAACCAAACUCAUUAGCUGUAUCAGUACGUUGUCUUAAAAUAUUCUCUAAACAUCAUCCUAAUUUCCCUAAGUAUAAGAAUUGUAUUAUUGAUACAAUCUUUUCUUUUCUUUCUUUCUUUGUUUUUUUUUUUUUUUUUUUUUUGAUAAUCACAUACUUAACUUUAUAUGCUGGGCAAGAAAUAUAUAAGGUAGAGUUUUUUGGUUUUUUUUUUUUUAAAUCAUUGCCUAGCUUAGUCAAUUUUAAUGUAUGUAUGAGCCUACCUUAAAAAAAGUCUUAUUUUUAAAAUAUUUAAUUCACCUUCUCACAAGAGGAUUUCCACAUAUUUAAAAGCUUUUUAUCUUUAAAGAAAUAAAUAAAUCUUUUAGCUGAUUGUGGAACAUUCUAAGUAUACAAUAAUUAGAUUUAAGAGGAUUCUUUUGGAGAUGCAAUUUAAAAAUUCUAAAUGCAUGAUACACACUUCUGUGAAAAGCAUAAUAAUCACCUAUACAAUUAGCUAAAUGAUUCUCUUGAGUUCAAGAAUAUAAAUUGGUGAGUGGCUAUCUGCAUUAAUCAGAUAAUUUCCAUGUUUUACUUCAGGAUGUAGACUUUUAAAAAUAUUGCUUUGUGAGUUUUAUUUUAAAUAAUAACUCAUUGAAAUGGAAAGGGAAAAGUGGAUUUAAUCCAUGCUUCAAUGGCUUAAUAUUUGUCUGAUUUUUGAAGGAUUUAGCACUGUUCCUCAGAGAACCAUGGAGGACAGGGAAAAGCCUAUCCAGAAGCUUCUUGGAUUAGUUUGUUCAUUCAUUUCAUUCAUUCAUUCAUUUACUUUGUGCUUAUUUUUCUCCAUAGUCAUGUUUGUGAGUUGUAGACUCAUGCAUAAAAGUUGUGAUUGCUGAAUUAAAGAGCAUCAAUCUAAAAUGAUAUACCAACAUUUGAUAAAUAAGAACAAUAAAUAUAUGUAAUAUUUAUUAAUCAUUUAUUAUAAUUUAUUUUAUGAUAAUUUUAUUGCAUACAAUAAUAAAAUAAUCACUGCUUCUUGAAUUAUGUUUCAGGUUCUGUGCUAGGCAUUUGAGAGUCUCUCUCGUGAUUUUAACUACCCUGUAGGUUAGCAUGUGGCACAAUGUAAAAGAUAAAAAACUGGACUCAGAAUCCACAUUGUCUGGGUCCAAACUAGCUCAGCCCUCUAGACAUCUUGAGUGACCCAGAACAAAUUAUUUAAUGUCUUACUGCCUCUGUUGCUCAUGUACAAACAGGGGAAAUAAAAUUAUAUGUGAUUUACAUGGGGCUAUUGUAAAGAUUAAAUGAAUUGAUAAUAUGCAAAGAACUUGGAACAGUGCCUGACACACAGUAAGAACAAUGUGUUUGCUAUCACUACAAUAGUUAUUGUUGCUAUGUGUAUUAUAGUUGACAAGAAAUAGUAUACUUGUAUUCAAAAGAGUUUAUUUACAUAUUGAUUCUGCCUGGGAUGAAGUAAGGCAAGCCUUUUCAUAGAAAGAGAUGUUGAUUUAGUCCUUGAAGUUUGGGUGGGAUAUUAAUUAAAGUAAGGAAGGACAUUCCAGGGAGGAGGAAUGAAAUGGGGACAGGCAUAGAUAUAGGGUAGUCCGAAGUAAGUUUGAGGGAAAAAAAAUGAGGAAUUUGGGAGUCUGAGAUGCAGGGUAUAUGGCAACAAGAAUAAAAAGGCCAUAUUGUAAAGUACUAUGAUUUGAUCUCUCUAUAUAGGUAGAACAGGUGUGUGUGUGUGUGUGUGUGUGUGUGUGUGUGUGUAUGCACGCAUUUGCACUGGAAAAUUCAUUGACUGUGAUAACAGUUUUGCUCUCAAGUUAUUAUUUCUUUAUUUAGUCCACCGUAAUCUUAGCAUUUAUCAAAGGCUGAUCUGAAAAGGAGCUUUAGGACCAAAGGAUAUCGCUUAGAUGCUGAUAAUCACUUCAUUUACGUUAAUAACACCCUAAGUCAGGACAGCAGCCAUCAGUUAAAUAGACUAAAAAUUAGACUGAGAUCAAAAUUACUACCCCAAGCACAGUAUUAAUUUUCUGAUUGAUGGUGACUAAGAAAAAAACUAUUCGGCAUAGCUUCAGCUGUAUUUCAGGGAAUCUGUACAUUUCUUCUAAUUUAUAAAGUAUAAUAAAUGAAUCACCAAGAAGGAUUAGUUGUCAGCUCUAAGACAGAGUGUGAAGGAUGAAGCACUGCUGUAUUCCCCUGAUGUCAGUUGAUCUAUUAAAUUAACAAGCAUAUAGAUAGAUUAUUUAAAGAUCAAUUUAGCCAAGAAUUGCUUUCAAAUGAAUACAUCAGGCAUCAAGCCUUUUUUUUUUGUAAGAUCGUUUUGUAAUUGGAAUACAUAUUACACACAACUUCUCAUCACAGAACUCAAGCAGUUUCAAUCAGGAGGAUUUGCUCUUUCUGCAAAGUGUGUGAAAAUCAAAAAUGAGCAGAUCCACUUCAUUAUGUAUAAUGAGGAGAUCUGUAGUUACUGUGUAAGUAAUGGCUGAAAAGAAUUGCUAGAAAAAUGUUCUUUGCUCACAUCUCUGGCACUGGGCUAACAUUUCUCUCUUAGAAAAUCUUUUCAGCAUGAAAGUUUUGGAAUUAAGUUCCUAAUAAACUUAGAAAGUCCAACAGCUGUGAGUAAUUAUGAUACAAGCAUAUCAAUCCAUGUGCAAACAGAUUUAUUCGGUAAGCUCCAAUCCUCUUGCUAACCCUUCACUGCAAUAAUUAAGUACACUCUAAUGAGUUUGUUAGUAAUUUCCAUAUGAUUUUCCUCCUAAUUAUUAUUUGAGUUGCCCAUGUUUAUAAUACUUAGUAAUAUCCUUAAAGUAUCAAUGGUGAAGACACAAUUUUGGCUGGUGUAUUAUUUAAUAAUUUGUAUUUUCUCAUUCAUAUGCUAAGUAAACGAAGGGAAAACAUUUAUUUAAAGGUCAAACUUUUUGAAAUUGGAUUUUAUGUGUGUGUAUGCUCAUUUUUAUACACUUAUUCAAUUCCCAUGGAAUGAAUGGGUCGUUUUAGCCUGAAUCAAGUCCUGUUUUUCCCUGCUUAAAGAACUCCAAGUUUCUACCGUGGUCUUCAGGACCCUGAGGGACCAUGUGCUACCUACCAUUCUGACUUUGUCCCUUACCACUUCCUUACUCAAUCAGCUCCAGAAUACUGACCUUCCUCCUGUUUGUCACAAAAGCAAAGCUGGUUUAUAUUAACACCAUGGGGUCUUUGAACUUAGUACAGUUCUGUUUUGGAAUGUCCUCCUCCCACUACUCUGUAUGGAUGUCUCACUUUUGUCAUCCUAGGGUCCACUCGGGAUAUCACUUCAUUGGGGAAAACCUUGACUUUUAGCUACAACAGCACUCUAGCCAGUCAUUCUCUAUGGUCUCACCCAAUUUUAUUUAUUUCAAAAAAAGUCUCAUCACUCUUUUUUAAAUGUGCUAGUUGGUUUAUUUACUUUUCUCUCUCACACCUAGAAUCUGAGCUUCCUGGUGUGUAAACAUGUUAUGUGAUCUGUCUCCUUCAUUUCUUUAUCUUCUAGGCCUACACCAGUGCCUGAGGCACUGGUGGUAAAUUCUUAAUGAGUACUUCUUCAGUGAGUGAGUAGAUCAAUGGUGAGCUGGAACAGGAAAGAAUCUCAGCAAUCCUAUCUACCCCUCAUUUUAUAGAUGAAUAACUGAAGUAUAUUUGCAUCCAUGAUUUGUCACCUAAAAUGUAGAGCCUGUCAGAGCAGACCCAAGAAAUUAAAUCCCAAGCUUCUUGAUUCCUGGCCCAGUCAUGCUACCUGUCUUCACAUUCAUCAGUCUGGCUGUGUUUGUUGAGAUAUAUAUAUUUAUGCAUGUGAUGUGUGUACUAGUAAAAUUUUAAAUUUUUGAGAUUUUGAAUCAAAAUCACACCCACUCUAAUCCUCUCAAGUUACACAGACAAGUAAAUCACUUAACCUCCCUGGGCUUUGGUUAUCUCAUCUAUAAUAAUAAUAAUAAUAAUAUACUAGCCUGCCCAAUCAGGCGAGUGAUUGUGAGAACCAAGUAAUAAAACAAAUUGUUUUGUAAACUGAAAAACUAUAGUAUGAAAUGAUAAUAAUCAAGACCCAGAUGUCACUUAGCAACACAGUAUAAAGCAGAAUUGGAUUCUUGGGAUGUCCACCUUUAAGUGGGUUCAGAUAUUGAAAUUCCAUAAUCACAAAAGGCAUUAUAGAGGAAAGCAAAAGCUGUAUAUAUGUCUAUAUAAAACCUUUUUUUCCUUAAGCAUUGUGGUUCUCAAAGAGUGGUCCCCAAAUCAGCAUAUCACCAUCACCUGAAAACUUGUCAGAGAUGCAGAAUCCCUGGCAGACCUCAGACCUACUGAAGUAGAAAGUUUGGGAGUUAGCCAAACAAUGUGUGUUAGCAAGCCCUCCAGGGAAUUUUGAUGCCCACUCAAGUUUGAGAGCCUUUGCCUUAUAUGAUUUAAUAAGGUAAACAAGAUGAUAAGUUUCCUAAUUAUGAAGCCUUACUAUGUUUUUGAAUAGGUUUACAGAAAUUCAUUGCAAAACCUAAAAGUCAGUCUUGCAUCAAAACCUAAAAAGUUAAAAUUAUAUCAAAGGGUGUCACCCUCUCAUUUCCAUGACAGAAGGCUCCCAGAACCAAAUAAACCAUGGAGAAUAGUUGCCCAUAAUGAGGUAGGAGACCAAUAGUUUAUCACCUAUAUAUCAUGGUUGAUUGCAGAAGGAGGUCAUUAUAAUUACAGAGACACCCCUUCUAAUUAGGCAGUUCAAUGAGGAAGUAAGAAAUUAUCAGGAUGGUUCAGGAAACACAACAACAACAACAAAAUCACAUUUGGUUUUCUUGAAAAGAUGGUCAAAGGCUUUUUCUCCCAGAAUUCUUGGUGUUUCAUCUCUCAAACAACCCUCUUGGGAUUGACGAGGGAGCAGAAUGUACUGCUGAAAUGCUUUACUAAAUCUUACUGGGGUAGUAAAAGGUACUGAGCAUCAAAAUCAAUUUUAAUCAGGAAACAAAUAGGCAUCGGAGUCAAAUCUGUCUGCUUCACUUAGAGCUCAGCGAACCUGGGCUAGUUAGUUAACUUUCUCUGAGCUUCAGCUUCCUCGCCGGUGAAGAGGGAAUAAUGAAACCUACUUCCAGAGAGUUGUUGCAAGGACUAAAUAACAUAAUGUAUUUAAAGGACCCACUAGCAUACCACCGUGUCUGGCACAAAAAUGAUGCACAUCACGCGUGGCUUCCCGUUUUCCUCCUCCAGCAAAUAGGUCUUUUUUUAGGCUCCACACUUUUUUUUUUCUCUUUGGCUACCUUCCAUAUUUCCAAAAUAACAUGAAUUGAGGAAAUGAGCAAGACACAAUGAACGUGAGAAGACGGACAUGCUCUCAAAAUACAGUCACCUAGGAGUCAGCAUAUCUGUACUUACGAAAUGAGCUCUUUUCUGCAGAGACAACUGGACCCAGUUGGCAGAAAGACUUAAGUAGGUAUCCUAAGGUGUGUUAGAUGCACAAGUAGACUCUUUUUCAUUCCUUCUUCUGAUCUUCCUACCCACAAAUGUGUAUACAUAUGUGUUUAUACACACACACAUAUGCUAAAUUGAACAUAUUGUGAGCUUUUAUUACCUAUAUGAUAGAAAGCCAUCAUUUGUUAUCAUAUAUUCAUUUCUUAUCGUGUGAAUUACAAUAUAAGUAUCAUAGCAGAGCUUAAAAUCAAAAGAUUUAAGACAGAAUAUAAGUACAAUAGAACUGUAAAAGGAUUGGACAUCAUGGUACAUUGUUUGGUGGAGGAAAUAGAGUGCUUGGCAAAACUCAGUGAACUCAAAGAAGAAAUCCAAGACUAAUCUUGAUAUCUCUUGAGUUCACACACUGAGUUUAUGGGUAUCAAGCCAGCCUCAGCUUGCUAUAUGAAUGUAGUAGGUGAAGAAAAGGGUGCAGUGGAGGGAUCAUGUCUUUUACAGAGGAGAAUGUUGGAAACUGCCUCUACAAGGACACCCCAAAAUGUUCGUUGUAGGUGACACAGCAAUGCCACAGUGCUCAGUCCGUAAACUUAAGCCACUGGGGUUCCCACAGAAGAUGUUCCCAUGUAUCUCUGCAAAAUGGGAUUUGACUUUGUAAUAACACCACUGCAGAAAGCUUCUCUCUCCAACAGCCUGCCCUACGAUUAUUUAUAAAUCAUCUGUUAUUACUUAUAGCUUCCAGGUUUUCUUUUUAACAGAUUUAUAGAGGUAUAUUUUAUAUAGCAUAAAAUUGUCCCAUUUGAGCAUACAAUUCAAGGAUUUUUAGUAACUUUACUGAGAUGCCAUAGCCACAAAUCAGUUUUAGAACAUUUUUAUCCCCCCAGACAGAUCCUUCAUGCCUGUUUAUAGUUAACCCCCAUCCCCACAGCCGGCCCCAGGCAAUGACUAAUCUAUUUUCUGCCUCUAUAAUUUUGCCUUUUUCUGGACAUUUCCUAUCAGUGGAACCAUACAACAUGUGGUCUUCUGUGUCUAGACUCUUUCACUUCAUACAGUCUUUUAGUGGUUUAUCCAUGAUGCAACCUCCGUCAAUGGUAUAUUCCUUUACCUUACUGAAUAAUAUUCCCAUAGCUUCUCUUAAAACCUAAAAAAGACCAUAUUCACUUAUUUAUAUAUUUAUAAAUACUGAAGGGAGGCACAUUCCCAGUGAAGAAUAAGAGAGUUCCGGAUUCAGAACAGAUUUUUGUUCUCUGUAUCUCACUAAUUACACUCUCUUUCUUAUUUAUUUAUUCGUCUUGUCAUGUCAGGUGUUGGCUUCUCUAUUUCACUUUUUAAAAAAUAAUUUCACAAUAGGCUAUUGAAACCCAGAAUGGUGAAACUGUAAAAGCAAUUUCUGGCAAAUGGUGGUUGAAAAAAAGUGCCAGGCAUUCACUUGGAGAGUGCUAUAAUGCAAAUAUGUGUUAAGUAAUGUAAUGGAGUUAAAAAUUAUCAUAGUAUUAAGAUGAGUCAUAGGAAUCUGAAAAUAAGUAAAAGAUUCAUUACUUUUAAUAUUUGAAAGUAAAUUAAUUCAGUAUCUCAUAGGUUUGUUGAUUUCAUAUUCUUUCAUAUUCUAAUAUCGUGUCAGAGAUUGCUGCAAUAUUUACAUAUUGUCUUUGCUGCAUGCAAUAUAGUUACCGUCUCAAAUUAUCCACCUGGAUCCAUUUAAUUUCAUAAUGGGUUUCUUUGGAAGUUGAGUUGUGGAAUGUCAUAAAUGUUCAGGGAAAGCAUGCCACUGUGGACUCAGAAAUUAUAUAAAAAAGCUUCCAGUACACACGCUAAAUAAAAAUGGGUCAUAUAAAGUUUAUUAACUAAACAAAUUAAACCCGCUUGGUAAUGGGUGUUUCUCAUGAAGUUCUUGAAGUAGCAUAAAUGUACUUGGCAACCUGAGGUUUCAGCUCAUGUAUUUCUCAUAUAACAUUUGGCUUUUUCUCUUUCCCCAGUUUCUCUUCUAAGUGGGGUAAAUGCUAUCUUCCUUUCUUUGGGGUGGAGGAAGUCCCUUCAGGUAGAGUGUAGAUUUCAAGACUCAAGCAAUUACAGAGCAUUGCUCAGUAGGUUGAUUUGUGGUGACAAAGCAAUAAUAGUCAGGGGCGUAUUACAUACCCCAUAAGUGGUUACAUAAGCUCCCAUUAUGUGUGGGGCACUUUGCCACAGACAUCGCAAGCCUUCAGUAAGAUACAUGCCUUAUGAUUUAACUUUUAUCAUUGUUCCCAUUUGGCAGAUGAAGAAACCGAGUCUCAAAGAGAUCGAGUAACUUGCCCAAAAUCACACAGCUAAUAAGCACGAGAGCCAGGACUUAACUCUAGUUUCAUCUAAUCUUAAAGCUCCUGUUUUUAACAAUCAUGCUACACUGUGUCUUAAAAUGGCAAGUGGGAGACCUGCCCUCCCACACCUGCCAGUGCUCAACCACAGUCACUUGUCUUUCAAUGCCAGGGGCACAUUCUGAGAUACGCAUCUCUGGGCGAUUUCAUUGUGCUGGAAACAUCAUAGAGUGUCUCUCCACAACCUACGCUCUAUGGUAUGUCCUGUUGCUCCUAGUCUACAAACCUGUACAUUGUGUCACUGUGCUGAAUACUGUAGGCGACUGUAACCCCUUGGCAAGUACCUGUGUGUCUCAGCAUAUAGAAAAGGCCCAGUUAAGACACGACACUGUAAUCUUAUGGGACCACCAUUGUGUUUGCAGCCUGUGGUUGACUGACAUGUAGUUAUGUGCCACAUGACCGUCCAUUAACAAGUCAAGUGACCUCUGAGGUCUUCUGAGUCUGUUAAUCUAAAGGGACGAGAGGGUCAUUCCACUUCAGGAGUCUUUUCUUGAGCACGAUCACAUUUUCAUUUCCCUAAUCUCUUAAAAUGACUGACUCACGGCUGGGGUGCAAGAGGCAUCAGUGUAGAUUGCUUGUUGGGAUGGAAAUAGGUGGUAAGUGGUGAGGAAGAAGCGGUGUUGAGACGCUGGGGAAGGGUGGGGAGGAAAGGUGUGAGUGGGCACAGGGACUCAUUGCCAGCACCUGUAAAAACCCAGCUCGGAACCAACUGGAAAAUCCCUCUCAAUCUCAGAGGCUUCUUUGAUGCUCUUCAUAAGAAACACUUGUAUGUUCUUUUCCUUUUGUCAGGGCCAUGUAAUCUAGAAAGCAGAGAUUUUUUUUUCUUUCUUUCUUUCCUUUUUUUUCCCCCCUUUCUUUUUUAGUAAACAUAAAGGAUUAAAAGGAAAGACAACAGCAAUUUUAAAGAAUGCUUUCAUGAAUCUUUCAGCGGGUGGUAGCUAGGAAAUGUGAGUUUUGCAGUAUGUUAUCAAUGUUAGUUUGGAGCAGAAAAGGUCAAAAAGUUAAACUUUGAUAUCUUUAUCUUUUCACAAAGGUUAUUCCAGAAGGAGCUAUAUGUAAAAAGAAAAACAAAAAGCAAAUACAUAUAUAUUACAGCAAAAUAUCCUUUCCUGUAUUCAUUCCAAGUAAUGGGCUUCACCUCGUAGCUAUUCUUUUCUGCAAAAGGUUUAUGUUAUUAUCCUCGGGUAUUAUUUCCUGAUGGUAUCAGUGUAAUGGGUCAUUCUAGAAGAGCUGGCUUAUUUCUGGAAGAUGUUAUUAAAUGCUGUGGAGGUAUGAGUAUUUCUGUGAAAAUGCCAAAAGAAAGGAGGAAUAUAAAAAUACAAGAGGAAGUUCUGGGGAAACCAAGCUGAACCUCAGAAAAUGAGACAAUGGGUAUGAAAAGUUUGAGGCGGGGCUAACUUCUUAGGGGUUAGCCUUCUCUGCUUCAGUUACACAGUGUUAUAGGGAAGGAGACACAAACUUAAGUGCAUCCCGGAGCUAAGCAUGUAAUAUAAAUGAAUGAACCACACGGGCUGGUGCUAGAGACCUGAGAACAAAGAGAAAAUUCCAUAUUUCCCUUCAUCUUAUAAUAAGAAAAGUCAUAGCACAAAUGCACAUGUAAAAAGUAGCAGACAUUCAGCCUCAGUGCCAGGCAUAUAAUUGGGAACGGAAGGAUAUGGCAAGCCAGGUGGCUCAUGAAAAGGACACAGCUAUAAUCCAACCCAGGCCAAUUGUUCCUUCCAUCUUUUUCAAAAGUUUGGGUCAAAAUCCAGAGGAGGAUAAAGAUUAUUUGUAGUUGAGAGAAGGCAGCAAUUGGGAAAAGCCCUUUAAUACCUGGAUGGGAUUUGGAAAUAUGGGAUAAUUUCUCUACUUUAUUUCUUAUAUGCAAUGCUGAACUCUCAUGGGCUCCAGGGGUUGGAGAGUGGUGAUAUCAAAGAUGUGACUUUGAGAAACGACUCUGACAGUGCUAUGCUAGGUGGUCUGGAAUAAGGAAACCAGUCCUGAGGCAUUGCAGCAGUCUACAGAAGAGUCAUGAAGACUGGAAUUAGCAUAGUAGCAUCGGAAACUACCAGACAGAUGAGAGGUUUGUGGAGAUGAUGGAUCCAAGGUGGGGUUAAAGAUCUAAGAAAAAGCCAUUGAUAGAGACUGCCAAGAAAGAUGGCCCCACUGACAAAUGGACCAUAAGAAAAGGAGGCUGUUGCAAAGGGAAGGUGCUGCGUUCAUCCAGCAUUUACUGAAUUAUUUCACGUGGGUAGACAUUCUCAAGGAACAGGGAAAUAAAUAAUGCACAUGGCCCUGGAGAUGCUACACGAUCUGACCCCCACCUGGAGGAGGUGUUUGUAGGUUUGACUUUAGACAUUAAUAUUUUGAACUCAAGAUACUGGCAGAACCCUUCCCAAUUUAGAAACGUGGGCCCUUUCUUGACUUUCCCUCUCGCUUAACUCCUAUGUUUGAUAUUUCAAUACAGUUUGACUGCAAGUCACCCUGAAGUUUUGUUUCAAAGAGUGCCUGGAGCACAAAAUCUGUAAAAGCUUUGGCUGCAGAUUUUUCUCUGCCCAAAAAACAAUGCUUAGGACCUUAGGACCUGCGAAGGUACAUUCCUAGGUGCACACUUCUUUGUGGAAAGCCACGGAAGCCAAGCAAUGGGAUGAAUGAAAGUACGAGGAGGAGAACCGAUCAUGUGCAUUUUAGAAUGACUUGCUAACAUGCUUUAGUAAGAGUGCAUUGGGAAAUAGCCCAUUCUGCACAGAGACGGACCCGCUUUGCAAGGCUUACGCCCAACAACUGGCUUGGACGAAGGCUUAGAGUGACAAAUAUCCCAAAAUGGAUAUUCAGUGGAUAUUUGUCAUUAUGGAAAGCCAAUGUGCAAUGUUUUUUUUUAAAAAAAUAUUACAAAAAUACACAUGCACAAAAUAUAUUUGAAAACUAUAAUAAUUAGGAAUCUUACUGUUGGUUGAUAUGCAAAAGAUGAGAAUUAUCAUUUGUUCACUAUAUACCAGGCGUUGCCCAGUUUUUCUUUACCCUGGUAGCCCUGUUUUGGGAUCUGUUCCAGUGGUGGGGAUAAUAAGAUUGAAUAUUAGAAACCUAGAUCAUCCUAGAAAAUCUGGACCAUAUGGUCGCAUACCUGUACCUUCCUUGUUUCCUCCUAAUAGAGCCUGGAAACUCCAGCAAGUUAUUUGGAAGUCUCUUUGAUGUCGGUCUCUAGUGAGAAGCAAGGCGACUCUUCACUCGCUGCCGUCGGAUGGGUGUCUGUCUGGGAAAGAGGGCGGAGGGUGGAAGGGGUGCAAGGGGACCCCUCAUCACAGGCUUUGAUCUUCCUUGACUCCUCCUGGGAUGUCUCACCUUUUGAUGUUGGGAAUCAGUUAAUUAUUCGUGGAAAUUGGUUUGAGGGACUAGGAAACAGUUUGAAGGCUCUGUUCUCAAACUGCCUGUACUUUGAUCUAAGGAACUUUAGGGCAACUUUCUGAAGCAUCUCGGGCAAAUGGGAAAGGCUCAGUCUGUGGCCCCUCCCCAGCGGCUGCUCAGGUUUUGAUCCUCCUGUUCUGCCAUGGUACAUGCAGAUUUAGCACACUUCUCUGUUCAGAGCCCUUGUGGUUUUGUCGGUGGUAAAAUGAUGACUUUUGGGAUCAGAUCAUAAAACCUCUUUCGCACCACAAAGAGCAUGCAACUUGAUAAUUCCCUGCUUAGAUCUUAAUUUGAAACUGCCAUCUCUUUUUUUUUUUUUCUGAGCAAUUGCUGAUUAACACGACUGCGAAUAUCUCUUGCAACACAACCUUGAUUUGCGAGACAGUCUAUUAAAUUAAUGGGUUUGAAGUCAAAUUUCCUGCCCUUUCUCGUGUUGAUGCAAGUUAACAUCCCCCAAGUUGACCUGAAAGGCUAAGAAAUGCUCGCGGGUUUGAUGGGCAGGUGGUGGUGGAGAAGUCAGCUCUCUUUUCUCUUCCAAACAAGGCAACACAAUCUGGCACCUUGCCUGGUAAUGCAAUUCUCCUAAUGAACACGUUUUUCCUAGUCUGAGGCCCUGCAUUGUGACCAUGCCACAGGGCUGACAAAGAGAUAAUUUUUUGUGCUCAGAAAGAAACACACACACACACACACACACACACACACACACACACACACAUAUAGAAACCUUCUGAGAGUGUGUUUUGUUCUUAUGUCAUGGCCCAUUAUGGCAUUUUCAUUUUAAUUGCAUGUGAAACCCAUUUAAAGAGGUGGUAUAAUAUGACUCUUCCCUUGGAAAACAGACAAGAGCGGUAUGGAUGCAUCAUAAAGGAGUCUGUUAGUUACUUGGGCUGUCAUCACCAUAUACCUUAAGGGUGGUAACAAGUAUUAAGUAUCUAAGCAAAUGUAAUAUAUUUGAUCCUCUUGUAUAUGAAUCCCUGUCCUCCUCCUAUAAGUAGUAGAUUCAUAUCACAGUAUCUCAGGUAACAGAGUACUGCUCAGUAUUUCAAAGAUAAAAUAUGCAUUCUUAUGCAUGUACAUUUUCUCAUUUUUCAAAUAGAAAUUGAGCCAUAUAGAUAAAGCAUGCAUAUACUGAGAUUCUGGAACUACUUAUUGAAAAGGAUGGUUGAUAAGGUUAUUUUUGUUGUUAUUGUUCUACUAUUCCAACCCUCACCUUGGGAAAUACAUGGCUCAUACCUCAAAGAGU
This is a non-coding RNA of Microcebus murinus (gray mouse lemur), 42999 nucleotides long. NCBI's taxonomy places the organism in Eukaryota, Metazoa, Chordata, Mammalia, Primates, Cheirogaleidae. The record is from RefSeq and is a predicted model, not a curated record.